This 1383-nucleotide long non-coding RNA is filed under the name Bos grunniens (domestic yak). RNAcentral's name for it is "lncRNA (ENSBGRG00000011249.1)". The record is from RNAcentral. Lineage: Eukaryota; Metazoa; Chordata; Mammalia; Artiodactyla; Bovidae.
GUGGGAUGCCUUAUCAAUCUACUUUGUAUCCCACGACCCUGUAACUCUGGCCACAAGUGCCUGAACCAGAGAUCUUUGCCCAGGUCUCUCUGCCAGCUCUCAGUACGGGUCCAGGUAUGGCCUCCUUGAAAGACACACACACACACACACAAGUACAAGGUAGUAGGUCAACAGAGAAUCCAACACGGGGAGAGAAGUCAGUAACAGAAGUGUGAUUGGGAGGAAACCGUGGUGGAGAAAAGCAGCCAGAAAGCGGGCAGCUUGAGGAAGUCUAAGGAAAAGGGGGGCGAGGCUGGCUCAGCCACAGAAGGGGCGGAGAGUGCCGUGAGCCCUGGGCAAGCCUCCCAUUCCUGAAAGCCCAUCUGUUUACAGCCCAAAGGGCUCAUCCGUUACCGGUAAUACUCGCCUUCCCACAGGUGACCCUGAACCUGCCAAGUCAGAGACGCAGUGCCAUCGCCUGGGCACAGUGUCUGAGUCACGCUUGCUCCUUGUUACAUCCUUUUCCAUUUCCCCCAACGUUUGACACGAAAGACUUUUCUGAUAGGCUGCCUCCGCAGUGGCCUCAGUACAGCUGAUUCUCUGGGGGUCAGGAUCAUAUAAAUAGUUGCUGCAGGGGGCACCUGGUCUCAGACCGGAGGAGCGACAUCUCUGCCACCGCUGCCGCCCGGUCCCGAGGCGGGGUCCCGGUCGCCCGCGCGCCGCCCCAUGCACCUCUGCCUCGGCCGGCGCGCACCCCCGCGGAUCGGCCACGGGGAUCCGCGGCCCCGGCCGGCCUUCCGCUCCUGUCCGGCACCAUCUACCGAAGCCCGGAGGCCCAGGAAGCGGGUGGUGUUCGCAGACACCAAGGGGCUCUCGCUGACGUCCGUGCACAGCUUUGGAGAUGCUGUGGGCGCAGACUCAGAGAAGACCUUCUGCGGUGGGUCCAGGGGAGCGCGCCCCGCACCGCCCAGCUCGCCAAAGCCAAGACCCUCGGUUCCGGGCCUCCCGGCCCCAGGCAGGACUCCGGGGUCCCCCGAGGCGUCUGCAGACCCCCCGUGGCCGGGGGGCUUCCAGCGAGGCGCCGUGCGGGCUCGAGGGCUAGGUUUUCAGAAGGUGCCGCCUGUGCGCGUCGCUCUGGGUGCCUGGGGCUCAGUCCUUGAAGCGCCGCCACUCACGCGCUCGGUCCUGAAAGAACCGGCGGCAGCUUCGCCCUCGGCGCGGGGUUGCCGCGAGGUCCCCCGAGCUGGGGGAACCAUCCAGUUGUGCUUCUCUUAUAGUGUGCUCAGCCGCUUUCAGCGGAUGGUGAUCAAGGUCAGAGUUAGUGCCUGACUCCCAGUUCACCGCCCUGCCCAUCAGAAUGAAACUGAACCCUUCGAGGGCGCACAUAUAGGAGCCCUCGCGGUU